RNAcentral lists this unclassified non-coding RNA (431 nucleotides) under plant metagenome. RNAcentral's name for it is "partial contains 5.8S ribosomal RNA, internal transcribed spacer 2, and large subunit ribosomal RNA". The stretch from base 1 to 102 matches the Rfam family "5.8S ribosomal RNA", at positions 50 to 154 of the family's 154-position model. The record is from RNAcentral.
AAACUGCGAUAAGUAGUGUGAAUUGCAUUUAGUGAGUCAUCGAAUCUUUGAACGCACCCUGCACUCACUGGUAUUCCGGUGAGUACGCCUGUUUCAGUAUCAUUGAAAACACACAAUCAAAACAUUUUCUUUGGUUUGAUUGGCUUUGGGUCUAUCAAAAAGUUUGGCUUGUUUCUUACAAGCCAAGCGGCCUGAAAUAUAUUGUCUGGCUAAUUGCAUCGUUGAUGAUCGCUAUUAGACUUUGGCUUUUUUAAAUGAACUGGAGGUUGAUUAACCAGUUUUAGCUUUAGUCAAAUGGUCAUUGUAAAAAAAAUCUCGAUCUUGGCUAGGUGUUUAUAGCCGAAAAUUUUUUUUUGGCUAUAACCGAAACCAAUAUAAUCACAUUUAGUUAUCGAUCUGAAAUCAGGUGGGACUACCCGCUGAACUUAAGC